Molecule: ribosomal RNA, 251 nt
Filed under: uncultured bacterium
Lineage: Bacteria
Description: partial 16S ribosomal RNA
Rfam family: Bacterial small subunit ribosomal RNA
Source: RNAcentral
UACGGAGGGUGCAAGCGUUAAUCGGAAUUACUGGGCGUAAAGCGCACGCAGGCGGUCUGUCAAGUCGGAUGUGAAAUCCCCGGGCGUCAACCUGGGAACGUGCAUUCGAAACUAGGCAGGCUAGAGUCUUGUAGAGGGGGUAGGAAUUCCAGGUGUAGCGGUGAAAUGCGUAGAGAUCUGGAGGAAUACCGGUGGCGAAGGCGGCCCCCUCGGACGAAACGACUGACGCUCAGGUGCGAAAGACGUGGGGA